AUGGGCUUAGACAUCUUGUUUAGAUGACAGUUUGCUCUUUUCUCAGUCAGUUUCAUGAGGUAGAGUCGCCUGAAAUGACUUUCAGUUAGGUUAACUAAACUUAUUCUUCAAUUAUUUACAUUUCUAGUCGUCUUAAUGUGUUUGAGAGCAUCAGUUGUAGAGUUUUAAACAGACAGAGUUGGUAUACAGUGAAUACCUCUAUUUGAGUAAUGUUCUCAUCCAUAUCAUGGCAAGAACUACUCAACUAAGUAAAGAAGAAUGACUCCAGUCGAAAAUUCAAGAACCUUGAAAGUAUCCUCAAGUACGUUCGCAAAGACCACCAAAUAUAAUGAUGAAACUGGCACUCAUCAGGAAAAAAGAGAAAGAGUUACCUCCAUUGCACAGGGCCAGCUUCAGAAACCACAAGUUAACAGGAGCCCAGGUUACAGCAACAAAAUAUAUUUUGGUUUGUUUAACACUUUUAAAUUUACUACAUGAUUCCUUAUUCCUUAUGUGUUUCUUCAUAGUCUGGAUGACUUUUUUUUUACAAUAUAGGGGAAAAAAAUAAAAAACAUUGAAUGAGAAGGUGUGUCCAACCUUUUGCAGAGGGCUUUUAAUUUAGAAUUACAGAAACAGGAAGAGGAUGAGAAAAAAAGGAUGACAGGGAGAUGUGAGAAGAGAGAAAGCAGUGUUGCCAAAUCUCCCCAAAAUCCUCCCAAAUGCUUUAUCAUAUGGACACACCUAGCCUCGAAUUCCAGGAGAUACAGUUAUUGUCUUGAUCUUCAGAGAACCACCACCAUGGAAUCAGCCCUCCUACUGGAGACAAGAAGGUCAGAGAUAUACUUAUUUUUCCAGCAAUUCCUGAAUACUUCAUCAGUACACAGCAGUAGUCUUUAAAAACUUUGUGGAGUUUUGUAAUGAGGUCACUGGUAAGGUUUCCUUUAUCUAUUUCUCUGUUUUGUUAAUAUCAUUGUGCAAGAAAUGGUGCACCGCGAAUAGUGCCCCAACCCAUUGACCGUGUCAAAAUUGAAUGCAUGUCUUUGCAUCAGUAUGAGAUCUUGACUUCCACACUUCCCCUGAAUUGGCAUUUUUAAUAACAUAUCAACCGUAAAAAAUGCAAUCUGAAAAAUACAAGGCUGUCUAAGUUCUUAUAGCCUUCUUACAGCCUUGAGGACAC
This 1156-nucleotide long non-coding RNA is filed under the name Astyanax mexicanus (Mexican tetra). RNAcentral's name for it is "lncRNA (ENSAMXG00005024120.1)". Lineage: Eukaryota; Metazoa; Chordata; Actinopteri; Characiformes; Acestrorhamphidae. The record is from RNAcentral.